This 1231-nucleotide long non-coding RNA is filed under the name Papio anubis (olive baboon). Its description in RNAcentral is "lncRNA (ENSPANG00000046871.1)". Lineage: Eukaryota; Metazoa; Chordata; Mammalia; Primates; Cercopithecidae. The record is from RNAcentral.
CUCACCUUUCUUUUGAAAUAUUCUUCUUCCAGAUUGGAUCUAAGUUCUUUCCCCCAGAAACAAACAAACAAAAAAGGUCGUUUUUAAUAUAGCGAAAGCACAGGGAUUAUUUUACAAUUACUCUUUUCUUCUCUCUGUCAUAGUUAUGGGAGGAUAUUUUUCAGAUCUUCAUCAUAAGAACCUGGUAGUCCCUGGAGGUAAUAUCCCUGAAUAUAUCUCUCCUCUCCAAACUGCAGUCCAUACUCAUCCUCCAGCAAUUUUUCAGAACUACUAAAUUUUCCUUCCAGUUAUGGUUCCAGCAUCUUCUGCUGCAGGUAGGGAAGUAUGAGCCGUGACUCUUGAGUCAUCUGUGUCUUCAGAUGUCAUGGCGAUGGUUUUCCCUGAAACCUCAGUUUAAUGCAUAGCAAAAAUUGAUUAGGAAACAGAUCUGCUCCUACAGCUGAAGCCUUCUCUUUUUCCACGACCAAAACGCAGUGAAUGACCAGCAUCACAGUCCCUGAGCCCUGGAACACAUUUCUUUCCCCUUUGCUUCCAGAAGAGAAAUAUUUAGAGGCUGACCUUUGGGACACUUUCUCUUAGCAGGCGCCAUGUUAUCCUCUUGCUGAGCUACCUCACUUUGAGCAUAAACCUCAUUUCUCUACCCUGUCCUUUCCAUUGCGAAAAGUCUCCACAAAGUACUUCAAAAAACACGUUUCAGCCCAAGUCUUAUGAGUAACCCACAACCUCAUAUCUGUUAUGUGUAGCCACGAUAGUCACAUAACUUAUCAAAACAGGAUAUUUCUGAGAGUGAACAAUGAUGAUAUUAAUAAUUUCGCCAGCACAACAGGUGCAAUCCAGAAUUUAGAAUCAUCCCAGUUCUGACCAGAUUGGAAGUUCUGGAAAGACUUUAUCCAUCACGUCCCUGAGCAUAUAAUCAUUUAUGCUUCCUUAACACAAAGCAAAUGCUUAAUAUUUGUUUAUUAUCAAGAUGACCUGCACAAUAAGAACCCAAACCAAGCCAGAUAGUGUAGAACUGGCCUGUUCAGCUGGCAGUACUAACAAACAGCACCUGCAAGAACGGGUGCAGUCUAGCUUACAAAACAGGAAAAUCAUUCACUGGAGAAUUUGCAUAUGGAAUACAGAUACAUUGCAUGGAGAGAAGGCUGACCUGGAGACUGACAGGCAGCUGUGGUGUGAAUGCCUCAUGACGGUGAAAGUCAGGAUGGUGGAUGGUGCUGCACUGCUUUGUUGA